Molecule: ribosomal RNA, 724 nt
Filed under: Enterococcus faecium
Lineage: Bacteria; Bacillati; Bacillota; Bacilli; Lactobacillales; Enterococcaceae
Description: bacterial SSU rRNA
Rfam family: Bacterial small subunit ribosomal RNA
Source: RNAcentral
AAGUGUUGGAGGGUUUCCGCCCUUCAGUGCUGCAGCUAACGCAUUAAGCACUCCGCCUGGGGAGUACGACCGCAAGGUUGAAACUCAAAGGAAUUGACGGGGGCCCGCACAAGCGGUGGAGCAUGUGGUUUAAUUCGAAGCAACGCGAAGAACCUUACCAGGUCUUGACAUCCUUUGACCACUCUAGAGAUAGAGCUUCCCCUUCGGGGGCAAAGUGACAGGUGGUGCAUGGUUGUCGUCAGCUCGUGUCGUGAGAUGUUGGGUUAAGUCCCGCAACGAGCGCAACCCUUAUUGUUAGUUGCCAUCAUUCAGUUGGGCACUCUAGCAAGACUGCCGGUGACAAACCGGAGGAAGGUGGGGAUGACGUCAAAUCAUCAUGCCCCUUAUGACCUGGGCUACACACGUGCUACAAUGGGAAGUACAACGAGUUGCGAAGUCGCGAGGCUAAGCUAAUCUCUUAAAGCUUCUCUCAGUUCGGAUUGCAGGCUGCAACUCGCCUGCAUGAAGCCGGAAUCGCUAGUAAUCGCGGAUCAGCACGCCGCGGUGAAUACGUUCCCGGGCCUUGUACACACCGCCCGUCACACCACGAGAGUUUGUAACACCCGAAGUCGGUGAGGUAACCUUUUUGGAGCCAGCCGCCUAAGGUGGGAUAGAUGAUUGGGGUGAAGUCGUAACAAGGUAGCCGUAUCGGAAGGUGCGGCUGGAUCACCUCCUUUCUAAGGAA